This 301-nucleotide ribosomal RNA is filed under the name uncultured bacterium. Its description in RNAcentral is "partial 16S ribosomal RNA". It matches the Rfam family "Bacterial small subunit ribosomal RNA", at positions 509 to 807 of the family's 1533-position model. The record is from RNAcentral.
CAGCAGCCGCGGGAACACAGAGGGUGCGAGCGUUAAUCGGAUUUACUGGGCGUAAAGCGUGCGUAGGCGGCUAAUUGAGUCGGAUGUGAAAUCCCCGAGCUUAACUUGGGAAUUGCAUUCGAUACUGGUUAGCUAGAGUGUGGGAGAGGAUGGUAGAAUUCCAGGUGUAGCGGUGAAAUGCGUAGAGAUCUGGAGGAAUACCGAUGGCGAAGGCAGCCAUCUGGCCUAACACUGACGCUGAGGUACGAAAGCAUGGGGAGCAAACAGGAUUAGAUACCCGUGUAGUCCCUGUCUCUUAUAC